GGACAGGUGUCCGAGUGGUUUAAGGAGGCAGUCUUGAAAACUGUUGAUGCCGCAAGGUAUCCGGGGGUUCGAAUCCCUCCCUGUCCG
Molecule: transfer RNA, 87 nt
Filed under: Candidatus Melainabacteria bacterium
Lineage: Bacteria; Bacillati; Candidatus Melainabacteria
Description: tRNA-Ser
Rfam family: tRNA
About the family: Transfer RNA (tRNA) molecules are approximately 80 nucleotides in length.
Source: RNAcentral